Long non-coding RNA from Astatotilapia calliptera (eastern happy), 1141 nucleotides. NCBI's taxonomy places the organism in Eukaryota, Metazoa, Chordata, Actinopteri, Cichliformes, Cichlidae. The record is from Ensembl.
GUCUACUCUUGCCGGCCACUUCAUUAGAGCUAGACCUUAAUACAGUUUUUUUGGUCCAUGUUGACACGAUAGCACCACACACUUGCUGCAGAUUCUUCGCAUAACCACGAUGCACAUUUUCUGUUACAUCACAUCCUAAUUGUGCUCUGUUCGAUUGUGAUCUGGAGACUGUGGAGCCUAUUUGAAUACAGUGAAAUAAUUUUCAUGUUCAAGACACCAGUUUGAAUUGAUGUGAGCUUCGUGACAUGCUGCACGCUGUGCCAGAUAGGUAGCCUGUCCAUGGGUGUACUGUACAGCAGCAGUCCCCAACCCCUGGGCCACGGACCGGUACCGGUCUAUGAGUCGUUUGGUACCAGGCCAUGAGAGUUGAGGCUUGGGUGUGAAAUUUAUGGUUUUCAGGGUUUUUAUCGUUAUUUUUUAUCAUUAACUCAGUUUCCCUGGGUCUUUUGUUUGUGUGUUAUGAAUAAAUUUUCUUUUUUUUUUUGGUACCGGUACUGGUUUUAUUUUGUUGUAUUUAUCCAUGACACCUUAAAGGCCGGUCCACAAAAAUAUUGUCGGACAUAAACCGGUCCAUGGUGCAAAAAAGGUUGGGGACCGCUGCUGUACAGCACCUCUCGCUCUGUGGUAGCUUGCAUAGAUUCUGGCCUCCCAGAGACCCUAAAUUAGCAGAAGAGAAUGGAUAGAUGAAUAAAUGGAUGGAUGGAUGGCAUUUCUUUUGCCUCCCUAUCAGCUUUAAGCAAUCUGACCAUUCUCUCUAACCUUUGGUAUCAAUAUCUUCUCCCUGAGAAUUUCCACUCACUGAAUAGUUUAUCUUUUUCAUAUCAUUUUCUGUAAAACCUCUAUAUGAUUUUUCAGGAAAGUAGAUCAAUCACAGUAGAUGCUUGGGCCAACCCAUCUGGCACCAAGAACCAUACUACUGUCACUUAAAUUCUUCCUUUCCUAUCUUCCUCAUCCUGAUUGUAAGUUUGAACUUCAGCAGGUCAUCGUGACCAUGUCUUCAUGCCUAAAUGCAUCAAGUUGUUGAUAUGUAAUUGACUAGAGAAUAGAGAAAAGACUGGAAAAUGCAACGAUUUUAAGGACAUCAAAGUAGCUGAAUCAUAUUUGAGAGUUACAUUAAAAGGAAAUUAGUGCACCAAAUUAG